Molecule: long non-coding RNA, 623 nt
Organism: Ficedula albicollis (Collared flycatcher)
Lineage: Eukaryota; Metazoa; Chordata; Aves; Passeriformes; Muscicapidae
Exons: 3
Source: RefSeq, a predicted model, not a curated record
AGCUGGACAUGGUCAGGAGAGCAAGGAUACCUGGCAGUCCCUGCCAUCUCUGAAGGCAUUUAGCUAGAUCUCUUCUCUCUCAGAUGUGUUUGAAAGUAUCUUCCAAUUGUUAUUUCUGAAAGCCAGGCAUGAAGAGAGCCAGAAGCUCCUCUGGGCAGUGGGCGAAGGUUGACUACUGCAGAGGAGUAAACAUUGAAACUGCAAGUAAACAAAGAAGAAAAUGACAUGGACAGACUGCUUGGAGAAUUGCAUCACUGUUCCCAUGAUUUAUGAUUUUGUACCGUGAAAAGGCAUGGAAACUCCUUCUGGGUGACAUUAUGUUUCCUUGGAAUCAAGAAGAUCAAAGCAACAUCUGACCUCGGGUGGUUCUUGUGUUGUGAAUUAUGGAAACAGCUACAGCUGCCUUGGAGACUUCCACAUUGCCUGGAGUUUCAGCUGUAAAUUUAGUAGAAUAGCAGGAACUUGAGAGUUGAGGAAGGAAAAUCACUUUGGGAAGAAGGGAGCCUGUGAAUUUGUAAAUUGUCUAGAAUGUACUAAUACAUUUAACAACUCAUAAAAGCUUAUCCUAGAGCUAAUUUUCUCUACUUUUCUUUACAUAAAAUGGAAUGUAUUUUGCUGUUCUU